GUGAGGAAUAUUGGUCAAUGGGCGAAAGCCUGAACCAGCCAUGUCGCGUGAAGGAUGAAGGUCCUAUGGAUUGUAAACUUCUUUUGCAGGAGGGUAAAGUGAGCUACGUGUAGUUCAUUGCAAGUACCCUGCGAAUAAGCAUCGGCUAACUCCGUGCCAGCAGCCGCGGUAAUACGGAGGAUGCGAGCGUUAUCCGGAUUUAUUGGGUUCAAAGGGUGCGUAGGCGGACUCAUUAGUCAUCGGUGAAAUUUUGCGGCUCAACCGUAAAACUGCCGUUGAAACUGUUAGUCUUGAGUGCGGUAGAGGUAGGCGGAAUGUGUGGUGUAGCGGUGAAAUGCUUAGAUAUCACACAGAACACCGAUUGCGUAGGCAGCUUACUGGAGCGCAACUGACGCUGAGGCACGAAAGCGUGGGGAUCGAACAGGAUUAGAUACCCCAGUAGUCC
This 445-nucleotide ribosomal RNA is filed under the name uncultured bacterium. Its description in RNAcentral is "partial 16S ribosomal RNA". It matches the Rfam family "Bacterial small subunit ribosomal RNA", at positions 354 to 796 of the family's 1533-position model. The record is from RNAcentral.